CCUACGGGUGGCAGCAGUGGGGAAUAUUGCACAAUGGGGGGAACCCUGAUGCAGCGACGCCGCGUGAGUGAAGAAGUAUUUCGGUAUGUAAAGCUCUAUCAGCAGGGAAGAAGAUGACGGUACCUGACUAAGAAGCCCCGGCUAACUACGUGCCAGCAGCCGCGGUAAUACGUAGGGGGCAAGCGUUAUCCGGAUUUACUGGGUGUUAAGGGAGCGUAGACGGCAGGGCAAGUCUGGAGUGAAAGCCCGGGGACCAACCCCGGGACUGCUUUGGAAACUGCCAUGCUAGAGUGCUGGAGAGGUAAGCGGAAUUACUAGUGUAGCGGGGAAAUGCGUAGAUAUUAGGAGGAACACCAGUGGCGAAGGCGGCUUACUGGACAGUAACUGACGUUGAGGCUCGAAAGCGUGGGGAGCAAACAGGAUUAGAUACCCGAGUAGUC
Molecule: ribosomal RNA, 440 nt
Filed under: uncultured bacterium
Lineage: Bacteria
Description: partial 16S ribosomal RNA
Rfam family: Bacterial small subunit ribosomal RNA
Source: RNAcentral